Long non-coding RNA from Mesocricetus auratus (golden hamster), 956 nucleotides. RefSeq lists it as uncharacterized. The record is from RefSeq and is a predicted model, not a curated record. The transcript is spliced from 2 exons. NCBI's taxonomy places the organism in Eukaryota, Metazoa, Chordata, Mammalia, Rodentia, Cricetidae.
GAGAGAGAGAGAGAGAGAGAGAGAGAGAGAGAGAGAGAGAGAAUUGAUAUGGGGCCGAGGCAAGCACCUGAGAAACACCUGCCGUGGGAACCAUGGUCACCCAAGUCUCUGACAAAGGUCACCUGGCUGUAAUGCUGACUUAAGGGGCCACUUUUCCUGCCAUAUCUCUGGGGGUGGGAAUGGGAGUGAAGGGAUUCGGUAGCUGUUUUCUUUCCCUCAUUUUACAUUUAUUUCAUGCUAGCUUACACAGUAGGUGAUCUGGCAGGCUGAUGAUCUGGAAAGUUCUGACUCUGGAGAAUAUGCAUUAAAAAAAAACGCGAGAACUGAGGCCAUGCAGGGCAGAAGAGCAUUGUCAAGGGAAGACACCGAUGAAGUGUUAUGACUGACCCUGAUGCCAACUUGAAGGCAAGGGCAAACCUGUGAUUUUGUCCUAGCAACCGCAAGCUGCAAUUUACAAAGGAUGGCCACCUGAUCACCUCUGAAAGCCUGUUAGCAUAGCUCCUGGAGAGGGGAGCAGAAUGCAAGGGUCAGCCACACAGCUGGCUGCAGAAAUGGCAUUGACACCACCGCCAACAUGAACCAUGACAGCAGCUCUGGCCCACUCCAGAUCAGAGGCUGGCCUGAAAGACCGGACCAGCUGUCCCCCAGCCAAUCAGAAGCAGAGGAAAACAGCUGUCUCUAAGUCCCUGACUGAGAUGGAAGUUGGUAGGGUGGCCUAGAGUUCACCUCAGGCCUGAUCCUGCUGGAGCUCAGGGGUAAGGGAUCAGGGAUCAGGCUAAUAAAUUAUCUAAGGUGAAAGAAAUAAAAGACCCAAGAAGUGAGUAUGGGACAGUCCAGUCCUCAGAAAGCCUAUGCAAGUGUCCAAGUGACAAGGUAAAUGUCACAUCUGGCACACACUAGGUGUUAGUGGCUUUCUGUUGAAUUAAUGUACUCAUUAGCAAAUCCUUGAGCUCGUA